UAUAUAAGUUAUCGUUUAUUUGAUAGUACCUUACUACUUGGAUAACCGUGGUAAUUCUAGAGCUAAUACAUGCUAAAAAUCCCGACUUCGGAAGGGAUGUAUUUAUUAAAUUAAAAACCAAUGCCCUCUGGGCUCUCUGGUGAUUCAUGAUAACUUCUCGAAUCGCAUGGGCUUGCGCCGGCGAUGGUUCAUUCAAAUUUCUUCCCUAUCAACUUUCGAUGUUUGGGUAUUGGCCAAACAUGGUUGCAACGGGUAACGGAGGGUUAGGGCUCGACCCCGGAGAAGGAGCCUGAGAAACGGCUACUACAUCCAAGGAAGGCAGCAGGCGCGCAAAUUACCCAAUCCCGACACGGGGAGGUAGUGACAAUAAAUACUGAUACAGGGCUCUUUUGGGUCUUGUAAUUGGAAUGAGUACAAUUUAAAUCCCUUAACGAGGAACAAUUGGAGGGCAAGUCUGGUGCCAGCAGCCGCGGUAAUUCCAGCUCCAAUAGCGUAUAUUAAAGUUGUUGUGGUUAAAAAGCUCGUAGUUGAACCUUGGGCCUGGCUGGCCGGUCCGCCUCACCGCGUGUACUGGUCCGGCCGGGCCUUUCCCUCUGUGGAACCCCAUGCCCUUCACUGGGUGUGGCGGGGAAACAGGACUUUUACUUUGAAAAAAUUAGAGUGCUCCAGGCAGGCCUAUGCUCGAAUACAUUAGCAUGGAAUAAUGAAAUAGGACGUGCGGUUCUAUUUUGUUGGUUUCUAGGACCGCCGUAAUGAUUAAUAGGGACAGUCGGGGGCAUCAGUAUUCAAUUGUCAGAGGUGAAAUUCUUGGAUUUAUUGAAGACUAACUACUGCGAAAGCAUUUGCCAAGGAUGUUUUCAUUAAUCAGGAACGAAAGUUAGGGGGAUCGAAGACGAUCAGAUACCGUCGUAGUCUUAACCAUAAACUAUGCCGACUAGGGAUCGGACGAUGUUAUUUUUUGACUCGUUCGGCACCUUACGAGAAAUCAAAG
Molecule: ribosomal RNA, 991 nt
Filed under: Tetracladium globosum
Lineage: Eukaryota; Fungi; Ascomycota; Leotiomycetes; Helotiales
Description: SSU rRNA
Rfam family: Eukaryotic small subunit ribosomal RNA
Source: RNAcentral